CUGUUGGCCGGCCUAGAAGCGGUGGCCCCACUCUGUGAUUCUGGGUCUUGGCUGGAAGUUUCAGAAGCACACGCAGCAGUGACUUCCUCCUUGCGGUGGCGACUGGAUCAGCAACUGCCAGGACAGUAAUGAGAUCCCCCAAGAACGGUUGCUGGCAGCCCACUACCGCUGUUGCUGGGGGCUGAGGGUUGAGUGGGUCUGAGUGCUUGCCUGUGAGCAAUUCAGGGCCCCAAGAGAUUCCCGAAGGAACUGCUGCUCUGAGGUUAUUCAUCUGAUGGGAAGACGCUGGUGAGAAAAGACAACAUUUCUGGUACCUCAGAGGUGACAAGGGUGAACUCAGCCCAAUAGGACAGCUGACUCCAUGGUGAGUGGCAGCCAGCCAGCCAAUGAGAAUGAGUCAAGGAGAAAGAAGGUGUGUCCUUAGAGCUGCUGCAAAAACUUACUUCAUAAUUUGUGAAACCUGCCUCACAGCCUGGAAUUGAGAACCUGGGAAGCCGGCUGCUCCUUUCCUACCUGGGUGUUCUUAAAAAUACAUUGCCAUUCCCAUAAGCAUUCUUUCCG
Molecule: long non-coding RNA, 561 nt
Organism: Bubalus bubalis (water buffalo)
Lineage: Eukaryota; Metazoa; Chordata; Mammalia; Artiodactyla; Bovidae
Exons: 3
Source: RefSeq, a predicted model, not a curated record